Molecule: ribosomal RNA, 269 nt
Filed under: uncultured bacterium
Lineage: Bacteria
Description: partial 16S ribosomal RNA
Rfam family: Bacterial small subunit ribosomal RNA
Source: RNAcentral
UACGGAGGGUGCAAGCGUUGUUCGGAUUUACUGGGCGUAAAGCGCGCGCAGGUGGGUGAACAAGUCGGAAGUGAAAUCUUGAGGCUCAACCUCGAGGCUGCUCCCGAAACUGUUCGCCUAGGGACUGGUAGAGGCUGGUAGAAUUCCCGGGUGUAGCGGUGGAAUGCGUAGAGAUCGGGAAGAAUACCUGUGGCGAAGGCGGCCAGCUGGGCCAGAUCCGACACUGAGGCGCGAAAGCGUGGGGAGCAAACAGGGAUUAAGAAACCCUG